RNAcentral lists this ribosomal RNA (305 nucleotides) under uncultured bacterium. RNAcentral describes it as "bacterial SSU rRNA". It matches the Rfam family "Bacterial small subunit ribosomal RNA", at positions 333 to 649 of the family's 1533-position model. The record is from RNAcentral.
UUGCGCCUACGGGACGCAGCAGUCGAGAAUCAUUCACAAUGGGGGAAACCCUGAUGGUGCGACGCCGCGUGGGGGAGUGAAGGUCUUCGGAUUGUAAACCCCUGUCAUGUGGGAGCAAAUUAAAAAGAUAGUACCACAAGAGGAAGAGACGGCUAACUCUGUGCCAGCAGCCGCGGUAAUACAGAGGUCUCAAGCGUUGUUCGGAGUCACUGGGCGUAAAGCGUGCGUAGGCUGUUUCGUAAGUCGUGUGUGUAAGGCGCGGGCUCAACCCGCGGACGGCACAUGAUACUGCGAGACUAGAGUAA